UACGAAGGGAGCUAGCGUUGUUCGGAAUCACUGGGCGUAAAGCGCACGUAGGCGGGUGUCAGUCGGGGGUGAAAUCCCGGAGCUCAACUUCGGAACUGCCUUUGAUACAGCACGUCUUGAGUCCGAUAGAGGUGGGUGGAAUUCCUAGUGUAGAGGUGAAAUUCGUAGAUAUUAGGAAGAACACCGGUGGCGAAGGCGGCCCACUGGAUCGGUACUGACGCUGAGGUGCGAAAGCGUGGGGAGCAAACAGG
Molecule: ribosomal RNA, 251 nt
Filed under: uncultured bacterium
Lineage: Bacteria
Description: partial 16S ribosomal RNA
Rfam family: Bacterial small subunit ribosomal RNA
Source: RNAcentral